RNA transcript from Magnolia sinica, 1251 nucleotides. RefSeq lists it as uncharacterized. NCBI's taxonomy places the organism in Eukaryota, Viridiplantae, Streptophyta, Magnoliopsida, Magnoliales, Magnoliaceae. The transcript is spliced from 6 exons. The record is from RefSeq and is a predicted model, not a curated record.
GGCUCCGCUCGUUCCAUGCCAUGCCAAGCAUUCAAUUCAAAAGCCCACGCCCAUCACCACCAUCCGUUCUCUUUGUUUUGAAGUCAAGAAAGAUUUCAUUCCCACUCCAUUCCUCUCCAUUUCUGUUCGUUUCUUCCCUUUGACUCCGCCUCACACCCGGUUUAUAUGCCUUGUAUUGACUUCAUUUUACAGCGUUUUCAAUUACCAUCUUCUCCAAAACGAUUUCUGCAAUGUAUCCGAGGGUGAAGGUCAAAGGAGAAGAGGUGAAGGAAGGCCCAGUUGCAACACAAGAAGAUAGAAGUUCUUUGCUUUUGAGGGUCUUUGAAUCUCUCUCUUUGCAUGAUCGUCAUUCGCCGGGAAAUGAAUAUCGAGACAAUUCCCCUCCACAUGCAAGAAUUCCCAAGUCCUAUGUCCCAAUCACACCAAUGCCUUCCGUUGCUGCAUCCAAAGGUUGGUUUGAACUUCAAUGCACUGCAAGACCACUGAAGGGGAAGAACAACAAAGAAAUCGAUGCGGAUAGCAAAACCAACAUCAGAGCGAGUUCUGUUCCACGGCCCCGUGCUGUCUUAUCAAGCCCUGAUUUCAACUGCUUGAUGUGAGCUAGUCAGAAAUUGACACAAACAGAAGAAAUCAUAGCAGCUGAUUCCCUGAAGUAUUUGAGAUUGCAACAUCACAUCAUCCCCCAUUUGGGUUCUUGUCCUCUACACAUGGUUAAUGUUGUGAUCACAUGGCCAAUCUCCUUUACAGACAAUGAUGGGAUGAUCGGAAGUAGGAACAAGUUAUCUAGAGGGAGACAUUCAGUCUUGAAAACGCGUAAUUCAGAUCAUGUCACGCUUACUCAGGGCAAGACCAUUCUCAAAAAGGACAGUCCCAGCAAUACAAGAAGAGUCUCAAAGGAAGCUGAUAGUAAACCUCACCCCAAGGAAAAGCAUGCAACAGAGCAAACUGUUCCACAGCAGAAAGUGCAUCUUAGAAAGGGCAAACCAAGCACGGCAGGAGUAUAAGCAUUUUGCUGCAGGUUGCAAAGAGGAUUUCUUUCUUAUCAAGUAGCUCAUGCUUUCUACUCAUACACGCCCCUUUUUUUUUGGGUCUUGUCUAAUGUGUGGUUUUGGAUGUUGAUCUUUUGGAGGGCACAGCGGAAAUGACCUCAAAACAUCAAAGAAGGAAGAAUACUAACAUUAUUGACAUUGUUACGAUGUAAUCACUUGUUGUGUUUUAUAUGAAGAACCAUUUAAGAUAUGAUUUGGUUGA